This 112-nucleotide non-coding RNA is filed under the name Caloramator quimbayensis. Its description in RNAcentral is "TPP sequence". It matches the Rfam family "TPP riboswitch aptamer (THI element)". Rfam says of the family: Vitamin B(1) in its active form thiamin pyrophosphate (TPP) is an essential coenzyme that is synthesised by coupling of pyrimidine and thiazole moieties in bacteria. The previously detected thiamin-regulatory element, thi box was extended, resulting in a new, highly conserved RNA secondary structure, the THI element, which is widely distributed in eubacteria and also occurs in some archaea. Analysis of operon structures identified a large number of new candidate thiamin-regulated genes, mostly transporters, in various prokaryotic organisms. Lineage: Bacteria; Bacillati; Bacillota; Clostridia; Eubacteriales; Clostridiaceae. The record is from RNAcentral.
AACAAAACACGGGGGAGCUGGGUAGGCCGGCUGAGAGUAAGAACCAUAAUUCUUUGACCCUAUGAACCUGAACUGGAUAAUUCCAGCGUAGGAAGAUGUUUGUAAAUUUUUG